RNAcentral lists this ribosomal RNA (808 nucleotides) under Lactiplantibacillus paraplantarum. RNAcentral describes it as "bacterial SSU rRNA". It matches the Rfam family "Bacterial small subunit ribosomal RNA", at positions 380 to 1180 of the family's 1533-position model. Lineage: Bacteria; Bacillati; Bacillota; Bacilli; Lactobacillales; Lactobacillaceae. The record is from RNAcentral.
AGUCUGAUGGAGCAACGCCGCGUGAGUGAAGAAGGGUUUCGGCUCGUAAAACUCUGUUGUUAAAGAAGAACAUAUCUGAGAGUAACUGUUCAGGUAUUGACGGUAUUUAACCAGAAAGCCACGGCUAACUACGUGCCAGCAGCCGCGGUAAUACGUAGGUGGCAAGCGUUGUCCGGAUUUAUUGGGCGUAAAGCGAGCGCAGGCGGUUUUUUAAGUCUGAUGUGAAAGCCUUCGGCUCAACCGAAGAAGUGCAUCGGAAACUGGGAAACUUGAGUGCAGAAGAGGACAGUGGAACUCCAUGUGUAGCGGUGAAAUGCGUAGAUAUAUGGAAGAACACCAGUGGCGAAGGCGGCUGUCUGGUCUGUAACUGACGCUGAGGCUCGAAAGUAUGGGUAGCAAACAGGAUUAGAUACCCUGGUAGUCCAUACCGUAAACGAUGAAUGCUAAGUGUUGGAGGGUUUCCGCCCUUCAGUGCUGCAGCUAACGCAUUAAGCAUUCCGCCUGGGGAGUACGGCCGCAAGGCUGAAACUCAAAGGAAUUGACGGGGGCCCGCACAAGCGGUGGAGCAUGUGGUUUAAUUCGAAGCUACGCGAAGAACCUUACCAGGUCUUGACAUACUAUGCAAAUCUAAGAGAUUAGACGUUCCCUUCGGGGACAUGGAUACAGGUGGUGCAUGGUUGUCGUCAGCUCGUGUCGUGAGAUGUUGGGGUUAAGUCCCGCAACGAGCGCAACCCUUAUUAUCAGUUGCCAGCAUUAAGUUGGGCACUCUGGUGAGACUGCCGGUGACAAACCGGAAGAAGGUGGGGGA